CCGGGGCUCGGAGCUGGUGUAGCUCAUAUUGGGGCUCUUUUCGGGGUUUGUAAUUUGGCCGUGGGUAGGUAAUUGGCUGGAGCAGGGCGGCAGGGCGCGGCAGCCAAUCAGCGCGCGGCUUCUAUAGGGCUUGAGUUAUUAGACGCUGAUCUCAAAACAUCCUUCAUCAGACACGAAGGAGAGGCCAACAGAUGAGGGAAGCCAUUUUUCUGCAAUGGAAUUAAAUGGCCAAAGGCCCAAGGACUCACAGUUGGAAGACUGGAGAAGACUUUUUAAAAAGAUCUGGAUUUUUCCUUAUGACUUGGAAUCCAUCUUUGUCUUGUAUAACUAGGUCAUAGCACACCAUUCAUGUCAGCAGUUAACAGUUUUGAAUUCCAAAAAAACCUAAAGCAGUAAACAGUCCUCAGCGAAGCCGCCUUUUUGCCUACCCAACCCUGGAAAGUUUGCAGAAGUGGAAGGAGCAGAACGUGAGGGUGUAACUUACAAAAAGAGGUUCUGGGCCGGAGAAGGGGCGACGUUCGGGCACCCCCCGAAUGGACAAUCUUUCCUUCUGUCAACGGCAGGGGCAGGCCUAGUUUGACUCUGACAGUCCUCCCACUAAGGCCUAUUUCUCCAUCUCCGAAAACAGGGCUAGAUCAGUGGUUCUUAGUCUGGAACCGGCAUCAGAAUCACACCGGAAGGGGGGCUCACUGAAAAUGGACCACCGGGCCUGGUGCCCAAGUGUCUGAUUCAGUGGGUUGGUCCUUAGGACUGGCAUUUCUAACAAGUUCCCAGGUGAGGUGAGGCUGAUGCUGUGGUCUGGGAACACAUUUUGAGACUCCAGCCCCUAGCCUGGUAACACCUGGGGUUUUGACGCAGAAGUGCCACGUUCCACGCUUGGCACAUAGUAAUUGAUUUCAUUCUAACGCUAGCCGACUUCAUGUAUUGAAUAGUUUCCCAUCUCAGUGUCUAAGAAGCUCCACAGCUGGAGAUGGCGGCCCUUGGUCUCGGAGCCCCCCUCCUUGUGAUUUCUGCUUUGUGAUUGCUUUGAUGAACCAUUUGGGUCCAGGUGCUCCUGAUCACACCACCUCCCCUAUUUGGGACUUGUGCCCCACUCCCGCUGUGAGGGCUACACCGAGCUCUGGGGGCCUGUUCGGAUUAACAAGGAGAUCUUGCUAAAGGUAUCUUGGUGCUAAGUUAAGGGAGAUAGUUCGCCAUGGGCUAGGAUCUCUCAGUGCUGGUGACCUUGGGUGAGUGUCUCCCUGUAAAGUGAUAAGGAUGCCUGCUGGAAAGGGUGGUGGGAGGAUUAAGUGCGUUAAAGAGGCCCUCCUCCCAAGCUUUUAGUUGGCCUCCAUUGUGAUCGUGGUUAUUGCUGGGAGUGGCUGCAGGGGGUGGGGGCUGGGCUGCCUCAGAGCUUCCCCCCGCACCAGCCCACCUGCUGAAGCACGUGUCCCUGCCUCAGGGCAAAGGGGAAUCUGGCGCUCCCUGGGAAGGCGGCCAACGCGGUUCUCCUCUGGAGUGGUUGAGUCCAGCUGCAGGCCUUUCCCCAUCCACAGGGGCUGUUCCAUGAUGGGGUCAAGAUUUGGGUCACCCACCCAUGGUCCGGGGAGAAGUGACUCCCCAAGGUCACAAGGCCACCACCAAUAGAGCCAGGAUGGGGUUCCAGGUGGCUUGACUUGGCAGCCAGCGCCUGUGCCCAUGGCACCCCCUCACCCCAGCUGUCUGGGUUAUUUUGGGCUUCCUCCCGUGCCAAGGAAUUCCUGGUGACUGGAAGGGGGAGUGACUCAGGCCCUCAACCUCUAGCAGGUAAGGGAGCUACCUCCUGGGUGGGCAUGCCCAGUUCCUCAGUGGGCCCAGCGCGGCCCAGCCUCCGAGGAAGCUCUGAGCAGCUGGCUUGGCUCCGAGGUAUUUUUAGCUACAGAUCCAGCCCCCCUCCAUCACCACAACAGUCGAGUCCAAAUCAAACGCGCUCCAGGCAGGUGGGGCUGGGGUUCUGCCAGCCUCCUGGCCAGCAGGGGUGGGUGGGCAGACUGGGGCCAGUAUCAGCUGUUCUGCCUGGACCCAGGCCGGGCUGGGAAGGCACACUUGUGCUUAUUUCCCGCCUCCACUUCUGUGCAAGCUUGUGCUGUCAUAAGCAGAGAUCACAGCCCCAUUUCUUGGAUGGAGAAAGUGGACACUGAGGUCUGAGGCUUUUGAGGACAGUCAGGAGCCCUCCUAUGGGCUCCAGUGAUGCACUCACCAGCUUCUGGUCCUCUUCUUCCACCUC
Molecule: long non-coding RNA, 2245 nt
Filed under: Homo sapiens (human)
Lineage: Eukaryota; Metazoa; Chordata; Mammalia; Primates; Hominidae
Description: non-protein coding LINC01089:7
Source: RNAcentral